Molecule: ribosomal RNA, 253 nt
Filed under: uncultured bacterium
Lineage: Bacteria
Description: partial 16S ribosomal RNA
Rfam family: Bacterial small subunit ribosomal RNA
Source: RNAcentral
UACAGAGGUCUCAAGCGUUGUUCGGAUUCAUUGGGCGUAAAGGGUGCGUAGGUGGCAUGGUCAGUCGGAUGUGAAAUCCCGGGGCUCAACCCCGGAACUGCAUUCGAUACUGCCAGGCUAGAGUACUGGAGAGGAGAUUGGAAUUUACGGUGUAGCAGUGAAAUGCGUAGAUAUCGUAAGGAAGACCAGUGGCGAAGGCGGAUCUCUGGACAGUUACUGACACUGAGGCACGAAGGCCAGGGGAGCAAACGGG